RNAcentral lists this ribosomal RNA (429 nucleotides) under Pseudomonadota bacterium. RNAcentral describes it as "Proteobacteria bacterium partial 16S ribosomal RNA". It matches the Rfam family "Bacterial small subunit ribosomal RNA", at positions 355 to 776 of the family's 1533-position model. Lineage: Bacteria; Pseudomonadati; Pseudomonadota. The record is from RNAcentral.
UGGGGUAUCUUGGACAAUGGGCGAAAGCCUGAUCCAGCCAUGCCGCGUGUGUGAAGAAGGUCUUCGGAUUGUAAAGCACUUUAUGUUGGGAGGAAGGGCAGUAAGCGAAUACCUUGCUGCUUUGACGUUACCGACAGAAUAAGCACCGGCUAACUCUGUGCCAGCAGCCGCGGUAAUACAGAGGGUGCAAGCGUUAAUCGGAAUUACUGGGCGUAAAGCGCGCGUAGGUGGUUCGUUAAGUUGAAUGUGAAAGCCCCGGGCUCAACCUGGGAACUGCAUCCAAAACAGGCGAGCUAGAGUAGGGCAGAGUGUGGUGGAAUGUCCUGUGUAGCGGUGAAAUGCGUAGAUAUAGGAAGGAACACCAGUGGCGAAGGCGACCACCUGGGCUCAUACUGACACUGAGGUGCGAAAGCGUGGGGGGCAAACAGG